UAAAAGUCACAUUAAAUUUAUAUCCUAAAUAAUCUUGUAUCAAAUACAUAAAACCAUAGAAAAGUCAUAACUCCUUCGUUUUAACUCCGAUUUGAUCCGUUCAAGUUGCGUUAGUCUCAUAGAAAUGUGUAGAUCAUUAUUAUUCAGUUUGUUUCUAUGUUUGGUGUGAUGUUAAUUUUAUCUAUACCAUGUUUGUUUGUAUUGCUACGACUAGCAGCGAGGUUACGAGUUACUUGAAGAGCAAGUUGGUACCUGGAAUCUCAAGUGCCAGGCAAGUUGUGCCCUUGAUCACUUACUUUUCCCAGCCAUGUUCUUAUUAAUUUUAAUGAUCUGCAUAGGUUAAUUUUGAUGGGAGCCUUUAUGUUACCCCAGUUUUGAUUACCUCUAUACCUUGUUCACCCCUGAAAUAUUUUUGGGUAGUACUUGCUAUUGCUUUAUGUGGAUUGGGUAUGGAGAUACACUAAUCAUGAUUAUUCUGUUAUUAUCUUGUUAUUAUUAUUGUUCAUGUUAAGAUCAUUAAAUUAAUGGGAACAUGGAGCGACCACCCGGGAAAACAGUGCUACCACAAGGGUAUAAUGGGACGCCCUUGGCUGAUUAACUAGGAAAGCUAGUGGAGGUCUUCCUUACCCGAAAGGGGCAAGGGCAGUAGGGGAGUGGUCAGUGUAGGGAGGUCCUUGGUUGAUUUUGCUGCGAUGGCGGUCAGGCAAGAACCCUGCACUAGAGCUUCGUAUAAACUGUAGCGGGAUUUCUGAAGCUAGUGGAACUUUGUAAAGGCCUCGUAGUGUUACCCUGCCUCGCCUCCUCGGUAGAGGUGUAUGGGAUUGGCCAUCUCUUGGCAGAUGGGUAACAUGACUUGUGGGUAAAGAUGCGCAACCUCUGCAGAGUGUAAAACUGGUAUACUAGCCGUGCUCACGGUCAUGAGCGGCUCGGACCCUCACAUGAUUAAUUUAUGGAACUUAAAUUCAAUUUGACAUUUGCAUCGCAUUUGGGAUUAUUUUACUAUUACUUUAUUUAUUAUUAUUAAGGUUUGGUAUUUACUUACACUUAGUAAUUGCUAAUAAAAUUUUGACCAACUUAUAAAAGCAAUGCUCAGCUUCAGCCUUUAUUCCAUUGAUCAGCCUUACACUUCAUGAACUCCCACCUUCGGUGAGUUCAUGCCACAUUAUUCCCCACGACUUGUUGAGCUAUGAACAUAUGUGAGCUCACUCUUGCUGUCUCACACCCCCCCAUAGGAGAAGAACAGGUGGUUCAGGAGGAGCCACAAGGCGAGGAGUUUGAUCUGAUCUAGGUGGCGAUUCUCAGUUGACAUUUGCGCCGACGAUCCUUAGUUCGUUUUAUAUUUACUCUUUUAUUUUGUAAUAAGUCUUCCGCUAUGUAAUAAAUACUCUGAUGUUAUUGUGACAUUUAUCUCUAUACACUCUGUUAUUAUAUAUGUUGUCUUCUUGGCGCAUGUAUGAGAUGCACCUGGCUUUGUUCCUUAAAGCCGGGUGUGACAGAAGUGGUAUCAGAGGAAAUGUUGACUGUAGGACGAAACCUAGAUAGAAAUGGACAAACCUUUCCUACUUACCUUACUCUGAUUCUCUCUAUACUUAUCUUGAUCAUGUCUCACCUUCUACUGUUCUACUCUGAUGAUUCUUACCUUUUCUAUUCUAAGACAAGAUGGAUUUCACACCUUGGAAUCCUACAUUUAUGAACUUUUUUUUAAGAGAUAGGAGACCUAAGACGAAAUUAAAAUUAUUUUCUCUAUUAAAAAUGUUGGAUGAUUGUUCUGAUGAUAAAUGCUUGAUUUGCUUCUUUGAUUGAUUGAAACAUUAUAGUUGGGCAUCUUAGCAUGUACCACCAUAAGGUAAUGUAUUAGCUUUAGUGGAUAAAACACUAAUCUACUUAGCUAAUAAAUCUACCGCAGUAACAUUCCUCGUAAUUACUCGCCUUGUCUACAAUUCUUCCCUUCUUAUCCUGUGUUUCUAACCCAGAUGGGCUAUACCCCUAUAGUGUUAGAAGAGAGCACUAUAGACUUGAUCCCUGGUAUAUCAUGGUUAAGAAAGGCAAAGGCAGUAUAUACACUGUGCUAAGGGAACCGUAGAACUCACCAGUUCCAAGGGACAAAGAUUUGAAGUUGAAGUUGCAGUAACUACCACCAUCAGACUAGCAGCAUUCUUAGUAGAUGAGAAGUUUGUUGGUGAUAACAUCCGGGUGGUUAGAGAUUUUCCGGAUGUCUUUCUAGAGGAGUUACCAAGGAUGCCACCAGAUAUGGAAGUUGAGUUGGUCAUUGAUCUCUUACCUGGGGCUGCUCCUAUUUCUAAACGGCCAUAUAGGAUGUCCAUAGAAGAAUUAAAGGAGCUUAAGAAACAGUUAACAGAGUUGCAAGAGGUUGGGUAUAUUCGUCCGAGUUCCUCACCUUGGGGAGCACCGGUGUUAUUUGUGCAGAAGAAGGAUGGAUCGCAACGGAUGUGUGUGGACUAUAGAUCACUCAAUGAUGUCACGGUGAGGAACAAGUAUCCAUUACCCCGUAUUGAGGAUUUGUUUGAUCAGAUGAGAGGAGCCAGGGUAUUCUCGAAGAUUGAUCUCCGAUCGGGAUACCAUCAGAUGAAGAUUAGACCCUCAGAUAUUCCUAAGACGGCUUUCUCAACCCGAUAUGGAUUAUAUGAGUUUACUGUUAUGUCAUUUGGAUUAACCAAUGCACCGGCUUAUUUCAUGAAUUUGAUGAACAAGGUGUUUAUGGAGUAUUUGGACAGAUUCGUCGUGGUGUUUAUCGACGAUAUUCUUAUCUAUUCUAAGAAUGAAAGUGAUCAUGAACAACAUCUAAUGUUGGUGCUACAGAAGCUGCGAGAUAAUCAACUCUAUGCUAAGUUCAGCAAGUGUAAGUUUUGGAUUGACAAGGUGCCAUUCCUUGGUCAUAUUAUUUCUAAUGGAGGAAUAGCAGUGGAUCCUGCUAAAGUGAAGGAGAUAAUGGAGUGGAGAGUGUCCACUACAGUUACUGAGAUUCGGAGUUUCUUGGGACUUGCAGGAUAUUAUCGGAGAUUUAUUGAACGAUUCUCUAAGAUUGCCAAGCCUAUGACCUCGCUUUUGGAGAAAGGAAGAGAAUUCAAGUGGGAUGAGAAAUGCCAAGAAAGCUUUGAUGAAUUGAAGGAGAGAUUGAUGUCACCACCAGUAUUGGUUAUGCCAGACCUACAGAAAGGAUUUGAUAUUUAUUGUGAUGCAUGUGGCCAAGGCUUAGGAUGUGUGCUCAUGCAAGAAGGGCAUGUGAUCGCCUAUGCGUCUCGUCAGUUGUGGAAACACGAGUUGAACUACCCCACUCAUGACUUGUAACUGGCAGCCGUUGUGCAUGCACAUAAGAUUUGGAGGCACUACAUUAUGGGAACUAAGUGCCAAGUAUACACGGAUCAUAAGAGUUCGAAGUACAUAUUCACUCAGAAGGAUCUCAACCUUAGGCAACGCCGUUGGUUGGAGCUCAUUAAGGAUUAUGAUUUGGAGAUUCAUUACCACCAAGGCAAGACAAAUUUGGUUGCAGAUGCCUUGAGUCGGAAGGAGCAUGUUCACUCCGCUUUCGUUGUCCAGCUACCCGAUGAGAUUGUUGAGGAUUUCAGGAGACUUAACCUGGGGAUAGUUGCUCACACUAAAGGAGUUAUUAAUGAUGUGGAACUUACCUUGGAGCAAGAAAUCCGCAGAAGGACAGAUUGGUGAUGCUAGAUACAAGAGAUUAGGGAUCUGAUUACUAAAGGUCGAGGUCCGGAAUUCACGGAAGAGGAGCAAGGCACAAUAUGGUUCAAGGAGCGGAUAUGAGUCCCCAAGAUUGAUAGCCUUCGUGAGACUAUAUUGAAGGAAGCCCAUGACUCGGAUUAUUCUAUUCAUCCUGGUAGUACCAAGAUGUAUCAGGAUUUGAAGCAGAAAUAUUGGUGAUAUGGAUUGAAGAGAGAUGUGGUUGCACAUGUGGCUAUGUGCGAUGUGAGUCAAAGAGUUAAGGCUGAACACGAGAGGCCAGUUGGACUAUUAUACCCAUUAAAGAUACCCGAGUGGAAGUGGAAAGAGAUUGGUAUGGACUUCAUUACUGGUUUGCCUCACACCCCGAAAGGAUAUGAUUCGAUAUGGGUGAUUGUGGAAAGACUGACCAAAGUGGCUCACUUCAUUCUGGUCAAGACUACUUAUAAGGGAUGUCAAUUGGUAGAGUUAUAUAUAGCUCGGAAUGUGGCUUAACACGGUGUACCGAAGAAGAUCAUUUUGGAUAGAGGAUCAUAGUUUACCUCCAUAUUUUGGAAAAGUUUUCAUGAGAAUAUGGAUACGAAGUUGAAUUUUAGUUUGGCCUACCAUCCUCAGACUGAUGGACAAACUAAAAGGACUAAUCUAGUAUUGGAAGACAUGUUGAGAGCUUGUGCCCUUCAGCAUUGUAGUAGUUGGGACAAGAGUCUACCAUAUGCUGAGUUCUCUUAUAAUAAUAGCUAUCAGGCCAGUUUGAAGAUGUCACCGUUUGAAGCUUUGUAUGGCAGAAAGUGCAGGACUCCAUUGUAUUGGGAUCAAACUGGUGAAAGGCAGUUGUUUGGACCUGAGAUUAUACAAGAAGCAGAAGAACAAGUCCAGCAAAUAAGGGAGAAUUUGAGAACUGCGCAGUCAAGAAAGAAAAGCUAUGCUGAUACCCGGAGAAGACUGUUUGAGUUUAAGGAGGGAGAUUAUGUCUAUUUGAAGGUGUCACCACUCCGGGGUAUGAGAAGAUUUAAAGUCAAAGGGAAGUUGUCCCCUCGUUUCAUUGGACCCUUCUUUAUCUUAAAGCGAGUGGGAGAGGUUGCAUAUCAAUUGGAGCUAUCGGAUCAUCUUGCGGAUGUUCAUGAUGUUUUUCAUGUAUCUCAGCUGAAGAAAUGUCUCAGGGUACCUGAGGAGCAAUUACCAAUGGAGGACCUUAGUGUUCAAGAUGACCUAACUUAUGCUGAGUACCCCAUCAAGAUUUUGGAUACUUUGACUCGAGUUACAAGGAAUAAGGUUAUAAAGAUGUGUAAAGUGCAAUGGAGCCACCACGGUGAAGAUGAAGCAACUUGGGAAAGAGAAGAAGAGCUUCGUAUAGAUUUUCCCCACCUUUUCUCUAGAUCUUCCUAAAUCUCGAGGACGAGAUUAUUUUUAAGGGGGGUAGGAUUUGUAAUACUCCAAGUUGUAUACCAAGAAUAAUAGAGAGUUAUCCUCAAUCCUAUGUGCCUCAUUUGCAUCAUAAGAAAAGAGCACACACACAAUUUAGAGAUUAAGUCAAGCAAACGAUAAAAAAUUGCAUCAUGCUGGAGUUUAUAUGUUUGUGCAUUAAAUGAAAUAAUAACGUUAAUGAUAAUAAGAUAAUAAUUACUAGAAAGCUUGAAUCCUAAAUUGAGAAUUUGGGUUUGAAUUAAGAAAAGGGAAGAACUGAGAAAAAUACUACAUAAAAUAAAAAUAAAAAUCAGAAUAAAUACCUUUCACACUUAUAUUAUUAAACUAUACAUUUCAAACUGAGGACAAGUUAUUCACAAAUUUUGAAUUUAAACUUGAAUUCAAAUUGGAUUUGAAAAUGGAGAAAAAAAGGGGAAAAGAAAAGAAUAAAACAAAGCUACCCUAACUGGGCCCCAACUUCGUUUUCGGCCCAUUACUCCAUCACCAACCGCACGGCCCAGAUGAUGCACCAGGCGCAUGGGGGGUAUGACAUGGUGGCCCCACGUCGUCAGGCGCAUCCUGUGUUGUUGCACGCACAGCGGAAGCAAGGAAUUUAUGCGCUGACAGGAAGGGCCCAGGGUCAGUCGCUCGGGUUUCUUCGGUGGUUCGCGCGCGCCUCACUGAUUUGCGGGACCCACCGGUCAGCUCAUCUCCUCCUUUCUUCGUCAACGGCCAACGCAGCUACCGCCGGAGAUCGCGCGAUCCGUGCGGACUCUCCUUUCGUUUUUCCCCUUCAGCCGUUAUAAGGAAGCCAGGCCGGGUCCUGCGCCCCUCCUUCGUCUCCACCAUGCAGUACCCACGGCGCUGGCAUCAAGUCCAUGAGCCAUCACUAGUUGCGCCGCUAAGCUUUGCCGCCGCUCUGGGAGGAGUGCCUGAGAAGAGAGAGGGCCGCCACCUAUGAAUUACUGCUCGUCGUCGCUAACGUCAUGGAGAGUUCGCGAGGAUCGUCUCUGGUGCUCAAGGAAUCUCACCGGCAGUCGGUCCGGGUGCGGGGCAUUAUGGUGGCGCCAUAAUUCCUCAUCGGAGCUCUAGCUUCGCCGCAGCUCCGCUUCAUGCUGCGGACCGGCAUCACUGCAACACCUCCGUCGGUAAUACCUUACCCGUUGUCCUUGCCUCCGCUCUUGCAUCGUGUUGUGUGUCUCCAAUCGAAGGUUAGUUCACUGGGCGAAGAACGAGUUGUCGUCGGUGGAUCUCCGCCGUGGGGAUCGCUUGCCGCUGACCGGGGUCUGCCUGGGGAGGAAGGCGAUCGGUGGGGCAUUGGAUGAGUCAUGUGCGGCUAGGACUAGAGUUGGGGAGAGGAUGCUCUGGGGCCGUUGAUCUAUUAGCGUGUGGAGGAGAUUUAGUUGGGCUGUAGCGUUUUGGGGAUCGAUCGCGGUCGUCGAUUGGCGAUCGAACGGUUUUCCUGGAGCUAGGGUGUCCACCGUCGGAUCGUGAUCAGACUGCUCACGGCGCGUACCGAUUCAAACCCUCGCGAUUUAAUCUGGCGCGUCCGGUGUUGAUCGGACGGCCCUGAGAUCACGAUACCCCUUCGCCGUUUGAUUUUGUAAAAGAGCCCCUGUAGAAUCCAUUAAUCAACCCGCCGUCCACAUUGAAGGUAGUCUGAGUCUGCGGGGUUUUUGCUCCGAGGCCCCUGCACUUCUCUGUAUUAGUGUGCCUAGUCCAGGAAGCUAAGAAAUUAGAUAAAUGGGAUUAGAAAAUGAUAUUUAAUGCAAAAAAAUAAAUGCUAGAAUGUGUUUAAAUCAUAGAAAUUUCAUAUGAUGUCCAAAUUAGUUCAUUCUAAUUCCUAUAAUUCUAUAAUAUUAUUUUUUUUUAUCACAUAGUACCUCUGUUUUGACAUAAAAGUCACAUUAAAUUUAUAUCCUAAAUAAUCUUGUAUCAAAUACAUAAAACCAUAGAAAAGUCAUAACUCCUUCGUUUUAACUCCGAUUUGAUCCGUUCAAGUUGCGUUAGUCUCAUAGAAAUGUGUAGAUCAUUAUUAUUCAGUUUGUUUCUAUGUUUGGUGUGAUGUUAAUUUUAUCUAUACCAUGUUUGUUUGUAUUGCUACGACUAGCAGCGAGGUUACGAGUUACUUGAAGAGCAAGUUGGUACCUGGAAUCUCAAGUGCCAGGCAAGUUGUGCCCUUGAUCACUUACUUUUCCCAGCCAUGUUCUUAUUAAUUUUAAUGAUCUGCAUAGGUUAAUUUUGAUGGGAG
RNAcentral lists this long non-coding RNA (7354 nucleotides) under Zea mays. RNAcentral describes it as "long non-coding RNA (ZMAY_LNC004264)". Lineage: Eukaryota; Viridiplantae; Streptophyta; Magnoliopsida; Poales; Poaceae. The record is from RNAcentral.